GGCAGUGUUUCCUAGUGGGAAGAGCACGGGCCUAGGAGUCAAAGAGGAGACCUGGGUUCUAAUCCCAGCACUGCCG
RNAcentral lists this transfer RNA (76 nucleotides) under Ornithorhynchus anatinus (platypus). It matches the Rfam family "tRNA". Rfam says of the family: Transfer RNA (tRNA) molecules are approximately 80 nucleotides in length. Their secondary structure includes four short double-helical elements and three loops (D, anti-codon, and T loops). Further hydrogen bonds mediate the characteristic L-shaped molecular structure. tRNAs have two regions of fundamental functional importance: the anti-codon, which is responsible for specific mRNA codon recognition, and the 3' end, to which the tRNAs corresponding amino acid is attached (by aminoacyl-tRNA synthetases). tRNAs cope with the degeneracy of the genetic code in two manners: having more than one tRNA (with a specific anti-codon) for a particular amino acid; and 'wobble' base-pairing, i.e. permitting non-standard base-pairing at the 3rd anti-codon position. The record is from Rfam by way of RNAcentral. Lineage: Eukaryota; Metazoa; Chordata; Mammalia; Monotremata; Ornithorhynchidae.